GACGAACGCUGGCGGCGUGCCUAAUACAUGCAAGUCGAGCGAUGAAGUUUGGUGCUUGCACCAAUUUGAAGAGCAGCGAACGGGUGAGUAACGCGUGGGGAAUCUGCCUUUGAGCAGGGGACAACAUUUGGGAACGAAUGCUAAUACCGCAUAAUAACUUUAAACAUAAGGUUUAAGUUUGAAAGAUGCAAUUGCAUCACUCAAAGAUGAUCCCGCGUUGUAUUAGCUAGUUGGUGAGGUAAAGGCUCACCAAGGCGAUGAUACAUAGCCGACCUGAGAGGGUGAUCGGCCACAUUGGGACUGAGACACGGCCCAAACUCCUACGGGAGGCAGCAGGAGGGAAUCUUCGGCAAUGGGCGAAAGUCUGACCGAGCAACGCCGGGUGAGUGAAGAAGGGUUUCGGAUCGGAAAACUCUGUUGGUAGAGAAGAACGUUAGUGAGAGUGGAAAGCUCAUCAAGUGACGGUAACUACCCAGAAAGGGACGGCUAACUACGUG
This 497-nucleotide ribosomal RNA is filed under the name uncultured bacterium. RNAcentral's name for it is "partial 16S ribosomal RNA". It matches the Rfam family "Bacterial small subunit ribosomal RNA", at positions 28 to 507 of the family's 1533-position model. The record is from RNAcentral.